CAGUUGCCAUCGGUAAGGCCGGGCACUCUGGAUGGACGUGCCGGCGACAAGCCGGAGGAAGGUGGGGACGACGUCAAGUCAUCAUGGCCCUUAUGUCCAGGGCGACACACGUGCUACAAUGGCCGGCACAACGGGAAGCGAAGGGGCGACCCUGAGCGGAUCCCACAAAAGCCGGUCUCAGUUCGGAUUGCAGUCUGCAACUCGACUGCAUGAAGUUGGAAUCGCUAGUAAUCGUGGAUCAGCCAAGCCGCGGUGAAUACGUUCCCGGGCCUU
RNAcentral lists this ribosomal RNA (273 nucleotides) under uncultured Thermovirga sp. RNAcentral describes it as "partial 16S ribosomal RNA". It matches the Rfam family "Bacterial small subunit ribosomal RNA", at positions 1112 to 1382 of the family's 1533-position model. The record is from RNAcentral. Lineage: Bacteria; Thermotogati; Synergistota; Synergistia; Synergistales; Thermovirgaceae.